RNAcentral lists this ribosomal RNA (2927 nucleotides) under Salmonella enterica subsp. enterica serovar Saintpaul. RNAcentral describes it as "23S ribosomal RNA". It matches the Rfam family "Bacterial large subunit ribosomal RNA". RNAcentral also lists the same sequence under 1 other name. The record is from RNAcentral. Lineage: Bacteria; Pseudomonadati; Pseudomonadota; Gammaproteobacteria; Enterobacterales; Enterobacteriaceae.
GGGUUGUGAGGUUAAGCGACUAAGCGUACACGGUGGAUGCCCUGGCAGUCAGAGGCGAUGAAGGGCGUGCUAAUCUGCGAUAAGCGCCGGUAAGGUGAUAUGAACCGUUAUAACCGGCGAUACCCGAAUGGGGAAACCCAGUGUGAUUCGUCACACUAUCAUUAACUGAAUCCAUAGGUUAAUGAGGCGAACCGGGGGAACUGAAACAUCUAAGUACCCCGAGGAAAAGAAAUCAACCGAGAUUCCCCCAGUAGCGGCGAGCGAACGGGGAGGAGCCCAGAGCCUGAAUCAGCAUGUGUGUUAGUGGAAGCGUCUGGAAAGGCGCGCGAUACAGGGUGACAGCCCCGUACACAAAAGCGCAUGUGCUGUGAGCUCGAUGAGUAGGGCGGGACACGUGGUAUCCUGUCUGAAUAUGGGGGGACCAUCCUCCAAGGCUAAAUACUCCUGACUGACCGAUAGUGAACCAGUACCGUGAGGGAAAGGCGAAAAGAACCCCGGCGAGGGGAGUGAAAAAGAACCUGAAACCGUGUACGUACAAGCAGUGGGAGCCUCUUUUAUGGGGUGACUGCGUACCUUUUGUAUAAUGGGUCAGCGACUUAUAUUCUGUAGCAAGGUUAACCGUAUAGGGGAGCCGGAGGGAAACCGAGUCUUAACCGGGCGUUAAGUUGCAGGGUAUAGACCCGAAACCCGGUGAUCUAGCCAUGGGCAGGUUGAAGGUUGGGUAACACUAACUGGAGGACCGAACCGACUAAUGUUGAAAAAUUAGCGGAUGACCUGUGGCUGGGGGUGAAAGGCCAAUCAAACCGGGAGAUAGCUGGUUCUCCCCGAAAGCUAUUUAGGUAGCGCCUCGUGAAUUCAUCUCCGGGGGUAGAGCACUGUUUCGGCUAGGGGGCCAUCCCGGCUUACCAACCCGAUGCAAACUGCGAAUACCGGAGAAUGUUAUCACGGGAGACACACGGCGGGUGCUAACGUCCGUCGUGAAGAGGGAAACAACCCAGACCGCCAGCUAAGGUCCCAAAGUCAUGGUUAAGUGGGAAACGAUGUGGGAAGGCCCAGACAGCCAGGAUGUUGGCUUAGAAGCAGCCAUCAUUUAAAGAAAGCGUAAUAGCUCACUGGUCGAGUCGGCCUGCGCGGAAGAUGUAACGGGGCUAAACCAUGCACCGAAGCUGCGGCAGCGACGCUGAUGCGUUGUUGGGUAGGGGAGCGUUCUGUAAGCCUGCGAAGGUGGCCUGUGAGGGUUGCUGGAGGUAUCAGAAGUGCGAAUGCUGACAUAAGUAACGAUAAAGCGGGUGAAAAGCCCGCUCGCCGGAAGACCAAGGGUUCCUGUCCAACGUUAAUCGGGGCAGGGUGAGUCGACCCCUAAGGCGAGGCCGAAAGGCGUAGUCGAUGGGAAACGGGUUAAUAUUCCCGUACUUGGUGUUACUGCGAAGGGGGGACGGAGAAGGCUAUGUUGGCCGGGCGACGGUUGUCCCGGUUUAAGCGUGUAGGUGUGUGUUCCAGGUAAAUCCGGUUCACUUUAACACUGAGGCGUGACGACGAGGCACUACGGUGCUGAAGCAACAAAUGCCCUGCUUCCAGGAAAAGCCUCUAAGCAUCAGGUAACAUCAAAUCGUACCCCAAACCGACACAGGUGGUCAGGUAGAGAAUACCAAGGCGCUUGAGAGAACUCGGGUGAAGGAACUAGGCAAAAUGGUGCCGUAACUUCGGGAGAAGGCACGCUGACAUGUAGGUGAAGUGAUUUACUCAUGGAGCUGAAGUCAGUCGAAGAUACCAGCUGGCUGCAACUGUUUAUUAAAAACACAGCACUGUGCAAACACGAAAGUGGACGUAUACGGUGUGACGCCUGCCCGGUGCCGGAAGGUUAAUUGAUGGGGUCAGCGCAAGCGAAGCUCCUGAUCGAAGCCCCGGUAAACGGCGGCCGUAACUAUAACGGUCCUAAGGUAGCGAAAUUCCUUGUCGGGUAAGUUCCGACCUGCACGAAUGGCGUAAUGAUGGCCAGGCUGUCUCCACCCGAGACUCAGUGAAAUUGAACUCGCUGUGAAGAUGCAGUGUACCCGCGGCAAGACGGAAAGACCCCGUGAACCUUUACUAUAGCUUGACACUGAACAUUGAGCCUUGAUGUGUAGGAUAGGUGGGAGGCUUUGAAGUGUGGACGCCAGUCUGCAUGGAGCCGACCUUGAAAUACCACCCUUUAAUGUUUGAUGUUCUAACGUGGACCCGUUACCCGGGUUGCGGACAGUGUCUGGUGGGUAGUUUGACUGGGGCGGUCUCCUCCUAAAGAGUAACGGAGGAGCACGAAGGUUGGCUAAUCCUGGUCGGACAUCAGGAGGUUAGUGCAAUGGCAUAAGCCAGCUUGACUGCGAGCGUGACGGCGCGAGCAGGUGCGAAAGCAGGUCAUAGUGAUCCGGUGGUUCUGAAUGGAAGGGCCAUCGCUCAACGGAUAAAAGGUACUCCGGGGAUAACAGGCUGAUACCGCCCAAGAGUUCAUAUCGACGGCGGUGUUUGGCACCUCGAUGUCGGCUCAUCACAUCCUGGGGCUGAAGUAGGUCCCAAGGGUAUGGCUGUUCGCCAUUUAAAGUGGUACGCGAGCUGGGUUUAGAACGUCGUGAGACAGUUCGGUCCCUAUCUGCCGUGGGCGCUGGAGAACUGAGGGGGGCUGCUCCUAGUACGAGAGGACCGGAGUGGACGCAUCACUGGUGUUCGGGUUGUCAUGCCAAUGGCACUGCCCGGUAGCUAAAUGCGGAAGAGAUAAGUGCUGAAAGCAUCUAAGCACGAAACUUGCCCCGAGAUGAGUUCUCCCUGAGACUUAGAGUCUCCUGAAGGAACGUUGAAGACGACGACGUUGAUAGGCCGGGUGUGUAAGCGCAGCGAUGCGUUGAGCUAACCGGUACUAAUGAACCGUGAGGCUUAACCUUACAACGCCGAAG